Molecule: ribosomal RNA, 429 nt
Filed under: Dysdera breviseta
Lineage: Eukaryota; Metazoa; Arthropoda; Arachnida; Araneae; Dysderidae
Description: partial 16S ribosomal RNA
Rfam family: Bacterial large subunit ribosomal RNA
Source: RNAcentral
AACUUUAUGUUAUUAUUCAAAGUAAUUCCUGCUCAGUGAAAAUAAACAGCCGCAGAAUUUUUAUACUGUGCUAAGGUAGCAUAAUCACUUGUCUUUUAAUUAAAGAAUAGAAUGAAUGGAAAAACGAAUUUUAACCUAUUUCAAUUUUUUUCAAUAAAAUUACCAAAAAGUAAAAACACUUUUUUUCAAAAAAAAGACGAUAAGACCCUAAAGAACUUAACUUAAGUUAAGCUGGGGCGGCUUUUUAAAAAAAUCUUAUUAAUUAUUCAUUACAUCUUUGUAAACUUACAAUGUUACCUUAGGGAUAACAGCAUAAUUUAAUUUAAUAGCUCUUAUUCAAAAUUAAGAUUAUGACCUCGAUGUUGAAUUAAAAAUCUACUAAACGAAAAAAAUUAGUAAGAAAGUCUGUUCGACUUUUAAAUAUUUACA